ACAUACGGGUCCCACAGGGGUCCUUCGACACCAGCUCAUCGCCUGGGUUCCACCAUCCACCCACGCACUCAUUUGGCAGCUAUCAACGGAGUAUUCACAGUACGCUGCUCGCAGUUCUAACCGCGGAGGAUAGAGUUGAGACCCACACGACAGCCCCUGCUCUCACAGAACUGAUGUCUCUAGAAGAGUCUUCCCUCAGUGAGAACGUUCUGAUUUCUAGAACAUUCUUUCUUCUGACGAGUGAACAGCCUCACCGGAACUUCCCCAUUCUCCUGGCUUGGUUCCUGAAGUGGCCCAAGGCUGCCUUCUCCCUCCCGUGGGUGAACAGGGUCACUGCUUCCUCUCUUGUCCAGGCCCCCUGGCCUGACCCUGAGUCCUGGGCGUAACGGCGUUGUUGAACCACCACAACCCCAGGCAGCGCCUUCCUCUUGGCCCAGGGGCUCUCUUGGGGACAGUGUGCGGUACUCCCCAAGGGGGCUUUGCUGUGCAAAAGCAGCCCCUGCCGAUGCUGCGGCUCCCGUGGAUGGAGCACUGCCUUGGGAACAGAGUUGGAACUCAUCCAAAAGAAUAAAAGACAACUGUGUUGGAAGAUUGCCAAGGUUUGUAGCUGUGCCACCGCAGACUUCAGAGAUGAACACUGCCUUGGAGACGGGGAGGAUUCAAGUUGCAGAAGCAUUUAGAAACCUCAAACGUGAGACACGGUGGGAAAUCAGGAAGACAUGAGGCUUUGCUCAACACUGGAGAACACCAGUUCUUUUCAGUUUGUAUGCAUCUUUAUCAGGCUGAAGAGAAACUAUACCAGACGGUAAUUUUAAUCUAUGUGAGGAAGCAAAUCGCUGUAAAGAUAAAAUAUGUAAGUAAAUAGAAAAGACUUAAGAUUUUUUUCUUUUCUUAAUUUUCCAAAAAACCACGAUUGUUUAAAGCAGCAAUUAUAACACCAUAGCAUGGAGUUCAUAAUGUU
This is a long non-coding RNA of Gorilla gorilla gorilla (western lowland gorilla), 961 nucleotides long. RefSeq lists it as uncharacterized. Lineage: Eukaryota; Metazoa; Chordata; Mammalia; Primates; Hominidae. The transcript is spliced from 4 exons. The record is from RefSeq and is a predicted model, not a curated record.